UCUGAAUCUGCGAACGGCUCCGCACACCAGUUGUAAACUAUAGCAAGUCUGUCAGUUGGCGAGCAAUCGUCGAUUGACUAAUAGGGAUAACCCUGGUAAUCCUGAGGCUAAUACAAGAACGUAAAACUUGGUCGACCUGGUAACGGGAAGGCUGAGGGUCGUGUAAGCUUAUUGCGACACUGACAUGAAUGGGUACACGAUCAAACCACCAUAUCAAACGAUCGGAUUGAUAAGCCUUCACGGGCGGACGGUCAGUUCGGGUGGGUCUUGCUGUGUGCUUCUGACCUAUCAACUAGAUGGCAGCGUAAAGGACAUGCUAUGGU
Molecule: ribosomal RNA, 323 nt
Filed under: Physarum notabile
Lineage: Eukaryota; Evosea; Eumycetozoa; Physariida; Physaraceae
Description: bacterial SSU rRNA
Rfam family: Eukaryotic small subunit ribosomal RNA
Source: RNAcentral